AUCCCUUGUAGACUACGAGGUUGAUAGGCACGAUGUGUAAGUGGAGUGAUCCAUUCAGCAAGUGUGUACUAAUAGAUCGAGGGCUUGACCAC
This 92-nucleotide ribosomal RNA is filed under the name Faecalibacterium duncaniae. RNAcentral describes it as "partial 23S ribosomal RNA". It matches the Rfam family "Bacterial large subunit ribosomal RNA", at positions 2833 to 2925 of the family's 2925-position model. The record is from RNAcentral. Lineage: Bacteria; Bacillati; Bacillota; Clostridia; Eubacteriales; Oscillospiraceae. RNAcentral also lists the same sequence under 1 other name.